RNAcentral lists this ribosomal RNA (400 nucleotides) under uncultured bacterium. RNAcentral describes it as "bacterial SSU rRNA". It matches the Rfam family "Bacterial small subunit ribosomal RNA", at positions 28 to 424 of the family's 1533-position model. The record is from RNAcentral.
GAUGGACGCUGGCGGCGUGCUUAACACAUGCAAGUCGAACGAUGAAAGCGGGAGCUUGCUCCUGCUGGAUUAGUGGCGAACGGGUGAGUAACACGUGAGUAACCUGCCCUUGACUCUGGGAUAAGCGUUGGAAACGACGUCUAAUACCGGAUACGACCCUCGGAGGCAUCUCCAGGGGGUGGAAAGAAUUUCGGUCAAGGAUGGACUCGCGGCCUAUCAGCUAGUUGGUGAGGUAACGGCCCACCAAGGCGACGACGGGUAGCCGGCCUGAGAGGGUGACCGGCCACACUGGGACUGAGACACGGCCCAGACUCCUACGGGAGGCAGCAGUGGGGAAUAUUGCACAAUGGGCGAAAGCCUGAUGCAGCAACGCCGCGUGAGGGACGACGGCCUCGUGUAC